This 481-nucleotide long non-coding RNA is filed under the name Ananas comosus (pineapple). RNAcentral's name for it is "long non-coding RNA (ACOM_LNC025445)". The record is from RNAcentral. Lineage: Eukaryota; Viridiplantae; Streptophyta; Magnoliopsida; Poales; Bromeliaceae.
AUUAUCCAUACUAAGAUUUAUUAUUUUUUUUCCAAAAUGCCACUAUCUAUUAAUAUAAUUUCAAUUAUGUACUAACAAUAUCAUUUAUUCAACUUUUAUGGGUACAAAUCACAACCAUAAAAUUUUUAUUUUAUUUUCAAAUUAUUAUAAAAUAUAUUAAUUCUUAGUUAUUUGAUCUAAGAUAAAUUAAGUAUCUGUCAUUUUUUUUUACCUAAAUUGCAUUCCACCUUUUAUACCUGUAUCCUAUCUUCUAAUUUAAUAAUAUUUUAUCUUAUCUAAUACUUUAUCUAACAAUAAUUCACUUUACACUUCAUACUUAUAUAUACUAUAUAUAAAAGUAUAUAGAAAUUCAAAGAAUAUUUUCUACCAACGAUUAUGAUUAAUUUGUUAAAAAAUAUUUCAAAUAAAAACGAACGGUUAUGAUCAAUUUGUUAAAAAAUAGCAUUCCAAUCCAUAGGUUUACAGUAAAAUUAUAAUUUGA